ACGGGAGGCAGCAGUGGGGAAUAUUGGGCAAUGGAGGCAACUCUGACCCAGCAACGCCGCGUGAAGGAUGAAGGUUCUAGGAUUGUAAACUUCUGUCGCAGGGGACGAAGAAUGACGGUACCCUGUAAGAAAGCCCCGGCAAACUAUGUGCCAGCAGCCGCGGUAAUACAUAGGGGGCGAGCGUUGUCCGGAAUGACUGGGCGUAAAGGGAGUGUAGGUGGCUUUGUAAGUUAUGAGUGAAAGCCUGCGGCUCAACUGCAGAACUGCUCAUAAAACUACUUGGCUUGAGUACAGGAGAGGUAAGCGGAAUUCCUAGUGUAGCGGUGGAAUGCGUAGAUAUUAGGAAGAACACCAGAGGCGAAGGCGGCUUACUGGACUGAAACUGACACUGAGGCUCGAAAGCGUGGGGAGCAAACAGGAUUAGAUACCCUGGUA
This 435-nucleotide ribosomal RNA is filed under the name uncultured bacterium. Its description in RNAcentral is "partial 16S ribosomal RNA". It matches the Rfam family "Bacterial small subunit ribosomal RNA", at positions 341 to 792 of the family's 1533-position model. The record is from RNAcentral.